This 470-nucleotide long non-coding RNA is filed under the name Parus major (Great Tit). RNAcentral's name for it is "lncRNA (ENSPMJG00000011767.1)". Lineage: Eukaryota; Metazoa; Chordata; Aves; Passeriformes; Paridae. The record is from RNAcentral.
AUGUGCAGGGAGCUGUGUCUGAAAAAUGCCUCAGGUUUUGAUUCUGAAUAGUCCUCCCCUUCUCAAUGGCUUGUAGUGAUCUGUGUGCAGCUCACCUGGAACAUCCACUGGUGGUUCAGGCACUCUAAAACUGGAAUCCUUCCUGCAGUGCAUUUCUGCUGGCUUCACAAGUCUGCAGCUCACAGAUGUUGCCAAUUUCAAGCCACCAGAGCAGAAAGGAACACCAGGAAGAAAGAGAGGGAUGAAAACUGGUCAAGACUACAGGUCUGGUGUCUAUGGGCAGGACCAGAGCUCACUUGCAUGUGCAGAUGUUUGUUUUCCCAAGGACAUACUGAUGUGCCACUGCAGGUGACAUGGAGGGGCAGAAAGAGGGAAGCCCCUGACCUGCACUGAAUCAGUUCUCACAAGUGAAAAAUAGAGAUCAUUUUGUUUUGGCAUGUCAAGGCUGUUCUGGAAUCAAGGAAUAACAG